Molecule: small nuclear RNA, 63 nt
Organism: Callithrix jacchus (white-tufted-ear marmoset)
Lineage: Eukaryota; Metazoa; Chordata; Mammalia; Primates; Cebidae
Gene: U7
Rfam family: U7 small nuclear RNA
About the family: Animal histone pre-mRNAs are spliced by a different mechanism than nuclear pre-mRNAs and self-splicing introns. This processing involves the U7 snRNP, which contains only one RNA species: U7. The 5' end of U7 RNA is thought to base-pair to a conserved spacer element downstream of the cleavage site in histone pre-mRNA.
Source: Ensembl
CCAUGUAAAAAAAUCUUUUAGAAUUUGUCUAGCAGGUUUUCCAGUAUUCACCAGAAAGCCCUC